Molecule: long non-coding RNA, 78 nt
Organism: Amblyraja radiata (thorny skate)
Lineage: Eukaryota; Metazoa; Chordata; Chondrichthyes; Rajiformes; Rajidae
Exons: 3
Source: RefSeq, a predicted model, not a curated record
CUAGACCUUUUACUAUUCAUUAGUUUCAAUAAGGUCCCCCCUCACCGUUCCAAACUCCAGUAAAUGAAGGGUCUUGAC